GCUAGCGGCGGACGGGUGAGUAACACGUGGGCAACCUGCCUCAUAGAGGGGAAUAGCCUUCCGAAAGGAAGAUUAAUACCGCAUAAGAUUGUAGCUUCGCAUGAAGUAGCAAUUAAAGGAGCAAUCCGCUAUGAGAUGGGCCCGCGGCGCAUUAGCUAGUUGGUGAGGUAACGGCUCACCAAGGCGACGAUGCGUAGCCGACCUGAGAGGGUGAUCGGCCACAUUGGGACUGAGACACGGCCCAGACUCCUACGGGAGGCAGCAGUGGGGAAUAUUGCACAAUGGGGGAAACCCUGAUGCAGCAACGCCGCGUGAGUGAUGACGGCCUUCGGGUUGUAAAGCUCUGUCUUCAGGGACGAUAAUGACGGUACCUGAGGAGGAAGCCACGGCUAACUACGUGCCAGCAGCCGCGGUAAUACGUAGGUGGCGAGCGUUGUCCGGAU
This 443-nucleotide ribosomal RNA is filed under the name uncultured bacterium. RNAcentral's name for it is "bacterial SSU rRNA". It matches the Rfam family "Bacterial small subunit ribosomal RNA", at positions 91 to 550 of the family's 1533-position model. The record is from RNAcentral.